CCUACGGGGGGCAGCAGUGAGGAAUAUUGGUCAAUGGACGCAAGUCUGAACCAGCCAUGCCGCGUGCAGGAAGACGGCUCUAUGAGUUGUAAACUGCUUUUGUACGAGGGUAAACGCAGAUACGCGUACCUGUCUGAAAGUAUCGUACGAAUAAGGAUCGGCUAACUCCGUGCCAGCAGCCGCGGUAAUACGGAGGAUUCAAGCGUUAUCCGGAUUUAUUGGGUUUAAAGGGUGCGUAGGCGGUCGGAUAAGUUAGAGGUGAAAUCCCGAGGCUCAACUUCGGAAUUGCCUCUGAUACUGUUCGGCUAGAGAGUGGUUGCGGUAGGCGGAAUGUGUGGUGUAGCGGUGAAAUGCUUAGAGAUCAUACAGAACACCGAUUGCGAAGGCAGCUUACCAAGCUACUUCUGACGUUGAGGCACGAAAGCGUGGGUAGCAAACAGGAUUAGAUACCCGUGUAGUC
This 460-nucleotide ribosomal RNA is filed under the name uncultured bacterium. Its description in RNAcentral is "partial 16S ribosomal RNA". It matches the Rfam family "Bacterial small subunit ribosomal RNA", at positions 338 to 795 of the family's 1533-position model. The record is from RNAcentral.